This is a long non-coding RNA of Zingiber officinale, 1002 nucleotides long. RefSeq lists it as uncharacterized. NCBI's taxonomy places the organism in Eukaryota, Viridiplantae, Streptophyta, Magnoliopsida, Zingiberales, Zingiberaceae. The transcript is spliced from 2 exons. The record is from RefSeq and is a predicted model, not a curated record.
UUCCCCUCCUGAUUCUCUUCCUCGUGCCGAUCCCCCUUCUCUACUGCCUUUGCCCAUGCACCGCCAACCUUGACGCCGCCUCCUCUCUUGCGAUGCCGACUCGCCCUUCUUCUCCAUCGCGACACCCACUACUGCUGACACCACGCCCUCCCUCGAUCAUCCUCCUCGCAUCGUCGCCGACCACCAUGGCCUGACGUCGGACACCGACCGCUGAACACUGCCUCAUCUCCUGGUCCGAUUCAUCACUGUUGAUUUCCCCUUUUCCCUUCUCGCGAUCUAGAUCCUCCGUCGGCCUUCCGCGAUUUCACUGGGCCACCCCGAUCCAUCGGUUUCCCCUUUCUUCCUCGGCCAUCUCCACACGGACGCACCCCGACGCCACCGCCGGCCAAGCUUCUUCCUUCCUUUCUCGGAGUCAUCUUCGGCCGAGAGAGAGAUCGGAGCUCUAGUUUUUGCCGGAGUUGUGUCUCGAGGUCCAGCACUAGAUUUCAGUUGUAGUCGGCAUCCGAGAGGGCUAUCUCUUCUCCAGAGGGAGGGAACUGCCGAUUUUGAGUUUGGUGGCCUCGUUGUAGCGUCAGCUACAAAUUUCUGGCAGCAAGUGCAUCCGGCUGGAAUUCCCAGCAACUGCUCUUUCCAGUCGUCAGUCAACAGGGAAGGCAUUGGAGUAGGGUAAGUUGUUGAGAAUCUGAUUCUUAUUUUAGCUCAAUUCGUAUUGAGGUUGGUAUGGUUACGGAUAGCUAAUUAUGUGGGUUCAGAACGAUUGAGGUUAUAUGUUGGAUUCAAUCUAGGCUUUGGAUUGGAUUCGAUUUAUUUAGUUAACCUAGAUCAAUGAAUAAAUUAAGGUUGAUUGUUAAUUAGGGUUUCCUAAUUAAAUUAGGAAUUUGAUUUAGUUAUUUGGUACGUGUUAGAGAAGCUAUAUUGUACGUUUGAUUUACAAGACUUUGAUUCGAGACGAGAGUCUCGACGUGGGAUCUAUCUGAUACGAUCUUCAUUUUGAGACGGGUA